UACAGAGGUGGCAAGCGUUGUUCGGAAUUACUGGGCGUAAAGGGCGCGUAGGCGGUCUUUUAAGUCUUGUGUGAAAUCCCUCGGCUCAACUGAGGAACUGCACGGGAUACUGGAAGACUUGAGUUCGGGAGAGGGAAGCGGAAUUCCGGGUGUAGCGGUGAAAUGCGUAGAUAUCCGGAGGAACACCGGUGGCGAAGGCGGCUUCCUGGACCGAUUACUGACGCUGAGGAGCGAAAGCGUGGGUAGCAAACAGG
Molecule: ribosomal RNA, 254 nt
Filed under: uncultured bacterium
Lineage: Bacteria
Description: partial 16S ribosomal RNA
Rfam family: Bacterial small subunit ribosomal RNA
Source: RNAcentral